This 497-nucleotide ribosomal RNA is filed under the name uncultured bacterium. RNAcentral describes it as "partial 16S ribosomal RNA". It matches the Rfam family "Bacterial small subunit ribosomal RNA", at positions 28 to 507 of the family's 1533-position model. The record is from RNAcentral.
GAUGAACGCUGGCGGCGUGCCUAAUACAUGCAAGUCGAGCGAACAGACGAGGAGCUCGCUCCUCUCACGUUAGCUGCGGACGGGUGAGUAACACGUGGAUAACCUACCUAUAUGACUGGGAUAAUUUCGGUAAUCCGGCGCUAAUACCGGAUCAUAUAUUGAACCGGAUGUUUCAAUAGUUAUAGUCGGUUUUGCUGUCUCUUAUAGAUGUUUCCGCGCCGCAUUAUCUAGUUGGUAAGGUAACGGCCUACCAAGGCAACGAUGCGUAGCCGACCUGAGAGGGUGAUAUGCCACACUGGAGCUGAGACACGGUCAAGACUCCUACGGGAGGCAGGCGUUGGGAAUCGAACGAAAUGGGCGAAAGCAUGACGCAGCCGAGCCACGUGAGUGAUGAGGGUCUUCGGAUCGUAAAAAUCUGUUAUUAGGGAAGAACAAAUGAGUAAGUAAAUAUGCACGUCUUGACGGUACCUAAUGAAAAAGCCACGGCUAACUACGUG